UCUUAGUCGGGGCAAUUGUUACACAGCUACAAAGGAACUAGAGGCAUUUUUGAAGUUUGCUGGAAUUCUCGGGGCGAUAAAGUUGGAGCAAGUGCUUUUGACGGAAGUGUAUUUGCUGGGAUAACUGAACAGAAGUUUUAAAGAAAGACGGAAACAAUUGACAAGGCAAAAGAUUGGGAACCUGAAUGCUAUUCAGGUUUAAAGGAUGGUCAGUGACUACAGUUGGGAAUGAGGUUCUCAGUUCUAACACUAUUUCCUCCAGUAGUUCCACGUUAUUACCUCAUUAUCCUGGUACCGUGUCCACAAAGCAAAAAGGAUUGAGUUCUUCAACUGUGUCUCCUUCUUCCUAUGGUCCUUGAUUUUCUCGUGUGAGAGAAGCUUCUGUGAUAGCUUUACGGCUUCACACAGCUGCUCCAGCACCAACGUCAUCUUGUAAAACGGGAGAUUUGGGCCACCCGCCAACUGUCAUUGUGAAGCCCUUCACAAUCGUUAUUUGUUCUCAGAAGCAGAUUGAAACAGGACCAAUGAACAGGAGUCCAAAAACGGCCUCGAAUCCAGUUUCACUCCAUAUAGUCCAUUAAUUUCUCCAGUAUUGGUGGCACCGAUGUUUGUAAGGAGUCAAACACCGAAGAUAGGCGAGGGAAAGCAGACGAAAAAUGAAGUCGCGAACAGGAUUGGGUCCUUUUUUGUUAUACUCGGUCGACAGGUUGAAAUCGCGGAUUUUCUUCAUUAUUGCCUGGCACCAAUGGAAAUAACAUCCCAAGUGGUAGCAAGAAGGAAACAGUUUUCGGACUGCGACAAAAACUGCCCGUUCAAAAUCUGUCACAAUCCGUUCAACUCUGGGAAGGGGCAUGAUUUCCUGAAUAAGAUUUUUGAACAUAUAUAUAUAGUCAAUAUCUCUAUAGUCAAUAUAUAUAUAGUCAAUAGCUCUUCUUCGAGACAUACAACAGAAAAGAAGCGGUACUUGCUUUAAAUCUUCUUUUUCGUUCUUUAUCAUCCCGUUUAUGGAGAGUAACUAGGAUCCCUGAUGGAUUAUAGGAAGUGUAUCAUGUGGAGGAGGAGCCACAGGACGUUCCGGUGGUGGUGGUUUCCGUUCUGAAGUGUGGGUGCCGCUCCUUCGGGAGCUGUCAGUGGUUAUGUAAGAUAAAGGCUCCCUAGGGAACCUGUGUUGAAAGCGGCAAAACUCGUCUGAUGGUACCAUCAAAGAGAGAAAAAGACAGGCCACCACGAAAUCAUAAUUGAGGGUAAUUUCAAAAAAUAAAACAAGCGGUUAACAAAUUGAAUUUUAAAACAUAUCUAUCUUAUUUUUAUUGACAAAUCGAAUCAAAACAUAUUUAUCGACACUGUACACUGGUUCGGAGUGCUUGGUUAAGGUAUGAAUACACAACCCACGCUCAACGUCCCACAAAACGGUCGAGUCAAACGAAGCGCUAGCCAAAAUCAGAUUCAUGUUUGGGUUUUUUGUUCCAAGGCCGGUAAGACUCCAUUUUAUGGUGUAGAUUUCCUUGUUGUGUGCUUGCGAAUCAUGAACACAAGUGUCUUGUUACAUGUACCACAUAAAAUGUAUUGGCACUGGUUACCUGAAUAGCAUUCAGGUUCCCAAUCUUUUCCCUUGUCAAUUGUUUCCGUCUUUCUUUAAACCUUCUGUUCAGUUAUCCCAGCAAAUACCUUGAAAUGAAAUAAAAUUAAAACAAAUCGAAUGAAAUAGUAAAACCAAACUUACACUUCCGUCAAAAGCACUUGCUCCAACUUUAUCGCCCCGAGAAUUCCAGCAAACUUCAAAAAUGCCUCUAGUUCCUUUGUAGCUGUGUAACAAUUGCCCCGACUAAGAAUAGUUGAAUGAAGAUGUAGUUUGUUUUUGUUUUAAACUUGGAAACUAUUAUAUACCUGAGUAGACCAGCUGUGUACACAUUAGUCAAAGCUACCAGAUGCUAGGUAUUUGCCAUCGGGAGAAAAUGCGACACUGUACACAAUAUCGUGAGAACAGGAAGCCAAAAGAUUACCCUGAGGAUCCCACUUGAUAGCGUUUACUUCAUUCUAGAGAAACAACAAAAAUAUUUCUCUUUUAAUCAUUCACAAAUUCGCAAGAGAAAUUUGUAUAUUGUUACCGUAUGUCCUUAGUACUAUCACCAGAGCCAGAAGCCAAUAAAUCAGUUGUUGGGUUCAGGCGCAGAUGAAAA
Long non-coding RNA from Daphnia magna, 2180 nucleotides. RefSeq lists it as uncharacterized. NCBI's taxonomy places the organism in Eukaryota, Metazoa, Arthropoda, Branchiopoda, Diplostraca, Daphniidae. The transcript is spliced from 8 exons. The record is from RefSeq and is a predicted model, not a curated record.